This 740-nucleotide ribosomal RNA is filed under the name Escherichia coli. Its description in RNAcentral is "partial 23S ribosomal RNA". It matches the Rfam family "Bacterial large subunit ribosomal RNA", at positions 163 to 943 of the family's 2925-position model. The record is from RNAcentral. Lineage: Bacteria; Pseudomonadati; Pseudomonadota; Gammaproteobacteria; Enterobacterales; Enterobacteriaceae.
UCCAUAGGUUAAUGAGGCGAACCGGGGGAACUGAAACAUCUAAGUACCCCGAGGAAAAGAAAUCAACCGAGAUUCCCCCAGUAGCGGCGAGCGAACGGGGAGCAGCCCAGAGCCUGAAUCAGUGUGUGUGUUAGUGGAAGCGUCUGGAAAGGCGCGCGAUACAGGGUGACAGCCCCGUACACAAAAAUGCACAUGCUGUGAGCUCGAUGAGUAGGGCGGGACACGUGGUAUCCUGUCUGAAUAUGGGGGGACCAUCCUCCAAGGCUAAAUACUCCUGACUGACCGAUAGUGAACCAGUACCGUGAGGGAAAGGCGAAAAGAACCCCGGCGAGGGGAGUGAAAAAGAACCUGAAACCGUGUACGUACAAGCAGUGGGAGCACGCUUAGGCGUGUGACUGCGUACCUUUUGUAUAAUGGGUCAGCGACUUAUAUUCUGUAGCAAGGUUAACCGAAUAGGGGAGCCGAAGGGAAACCGAGUCUUAACUGGGCGUUAAGUUGCAGGGUAUAGACCCGAAACCCGGUGAUCUAGCCAUGGGCAGGUUGAAGGUUGGGUAACACUAACUGGAGGACCGAACCGACUAAUGUUGAAAAAUUAGCGGAUGACUUGUGGCUGGGGGUGAAAGGCCAAUCAAACCGGGAGAUAGCUGGUUCUCCCCGAAAGCUAUUUAGGUAGCGCCUCGUGAAUUCAUCUCCGGGGGUAGAGCACUGUUUCGGCAAGGGGGUCAUCCCGACUUACCAAC